UGGGGAAUAUUGCACAAUGGGCGCAAGCCUGAUGCAGCCAUGCCGCGUGUGUGAAGAAGGCCUUCGGGUUGUAAAGCACUUUCAGCGGGGAGGAAGGCGAUAAGGUUAAUAACCUUGUCGAUUGACGUUACCCGCAGAAGAAGCACCGGCUAACUCCGUGCCAGCAGCCGCGGUAAUACGGAGGGUGCAAGCGUUAAUCGGAAUUACUGGGCGUAAAGCGCACGCAGGCGGUCUGUCAAGUCGGAUGUGAAAUCCCCGGGCUUAACCUGGGAACUGCAUUCGAAACUGGCAGGCUAGAGUCUUGUAGAGGGGGGUAGAAUUCCAGGUGUAGCGGUGAAAUGCGUAGAGAUGUGGAGGAAUACCGGUGGCGAAGGCGGCCCCCUGGACAAAGACUGACGCUCAGGUGCGAAAGCGUGGGGAGCAAACAGG
This 429-nucleotide ribosomal RNA is filed under the name Chloroflexota bacterium. RNAcentral's name for it is "Chloroflexi bacterium partial 16S ribosomal RNA". It matches the Rfam family "Bacterial small subunit ribosomal RNA", at positions 355 to 776 of the family's 1533-position model. The record is from RNAcentral. Lineage: Bacteria; Bacillati; Chloroflexota.